This 429-nucleotide ribosomal RNA is filed under the name Chloroflexota bacterium. RNAcentral describes it as "Chloroflexi bacterium partial 16S ribosomal RNA". It matches the Rfam family "Bacterial small subunit ribosomal RNA", at positions 355 to 776 of the family's 1533-position model. The record is from RNAcentral. Lineage: Bacteria; Bacillati; Chloroflexota.
UGGGGAAUAUUGCACAAUGGGCGCAAGCCUGAUGCAGCCAUGCCGCGUGUAUGAAGAAGGCCUUCGGGUUGUAAAGUACUUUCAGCGGGGAGGAAGGGAGUAAAGUUAAUACCUUUGCUCAUUGACGUUACCCGCAGAAGAAGCACCGGCUAACUCCGUGCCAGCAGCCGCGGUAAUACGGAGGGUGCAAGCGUUAAUCGGAAUUACUGGGCGUAAAGCGCACGCAGGCGGUCUGUCAAGUCGGAUGUGAAAUCCCCGGGCUCAACCUGGGAACUGCAUUCGAAACUGGCAGGCUAGAGUCUUGUAGAGGGGGGUAGAAUUCCAGGUGUAGCGGUGAAAUGCGUAGAGAUCCGGAGGAAUACCGGUGGCGAAGGCGGCCCCCUGGACAAAGACUGACGCUCAGGUGCGAAAGCGUGGGGAGCAAACAGG